UACGAAGGGGGCUAGCGUUGUUCGGAAUGACUGGGCGUAAAGGGCGCGUAGGCGGCGAUGUAAGUCAGGCGUGAAAGCCCCGGGCUCAACCUGGGAACGGCGCUUGAUACUGCGUUGCUUGAGGACGGGAGAGGAUGGUGGAAUUCCCAGUGUAGAGGUGAAAUUCGUAGAUAUCAAGCAGAACACCUGCGGCGAAGGCGGCCUUCUGGACGAUGACUGACGCUGAGACGCGAAAGCGUGGGGAGCAAACAGG
This 253-nucleotide ribosomal RNA is filed under the name uncultured bacterium. RNAcentral describes it as "partial 16S ribosomal RNA". It matches the Rfam family "Bacterial small subunit ribosomal RNA", at positions 524 to 776 of the family's 1533-position model. The record is from RNAcentral.